AUGGCGACUAAUAAGCUCGCAGCGCUCGUCGUCUUGGUCGCGUUCCUCGCCGGGCCCGCGGCGUGCGAGGGUAUCAACAUUUGCCUCAACUUCAACGGCUGGCUGAAGCCAUCCAUUCUGGACCCGCUGUUCUGUCCUCGCGGCUCCGGCCCUCCGGUCCCUUCUCCCUCGGGGUCAGGGCUCAGCUACGGCUAUUACAACACCAGGUGCCCUACCGCGGAGAAGAUCAUCAAGGAUGCCGUGAAGAAGGCCGUGGAUGAGAACCCCGGCAUUGGCGCGGGGCUCAUCCGUCUCUUCUUCCACGACUGCUUCGUUCGGGGAUGCGAUGCUUCCGUCCUCCUCAACACGACCAACUCCCAGAACAGCGACACGGAGAGGGAAGGCCUUCCCAACAAGGACAGCCUGCGAGGGUUCGAGGUGAUCGACGAGGCCAAGACGGCGAUCGAGGCCGCCUGCAACAAUACAGUCUCAUGCGCAGACAUUGUCGCCUUCGCCGCCCGCGACGCGUCCUACUUCCUCAGCAACGGCAGCAUCAAUAUCCGGAUGCCAGGCGGCCGCUACGACGGGCGCGAGUCCUUCGCCAACGAGACCGACCAGCUGCCCGGGCCCUUCUCCAACGUCGCGCAGCUCCAGGCGAGCUUCGCGGCCAAGGGGCUCACCUCCGACGAGAUGGUCACGCUCUCCGGCGCGCACACCAUCGGCCGCGCCCGCUGCAUGUUCUUCUCCAGCCGCUUCUCUGAGAUGGACCCGGCAUAUGCCGCCAAGCUCAGGGCCCAGUGCAACGGCAACGGCAACACCAACGUGAACCAAGACGAUGUGACCUCCAACGUCCUGGACAAGCAGUACUACCAGAACGUGCUCGACAACAAAGUGUUGUUCGCCUCGGACGCCGUGCUCAACUCGACGGUAACGAGAGCGCAGGUGACAGAAAACGCGGACAAGGCCGGAGAGUGGGAGAGGAAGUUCGAGAAAGCCAUGGAGAAAAUGGGGAAAAUCAAAGGCGACCAGCAAGGCCUGGAGAUCAGGAAGGUAUGCUGGAGAGUCAACAACGUUGGCCUGUACUAA
This 1065-nucleotide ribosomal RNA is filed under the name Triticum aestivum (bread wheat). Its description in RNAcentral is "partial small subunit ribosomal RNA". Lineage: Eukaryota; Viridiplantae; Streptophyta; Magnoliopsida; Poales; Poaceae. The record is from RNAcentral.